RNAcentral lists this transfer RNA (75 nucleotides) under Ignavibacteriota bacterium. RNAcentral describes it as "Ignavibacteriae bacterium tRNA-Glu". It matches the Rfam family "tRNA". From Rfam's summary of the family: Transfer RNA (tRNA) molecules are approximately 80 nucleotides in length. Their secondary structure includes four short double-helical elements and three loops (D, anti-codon, and T loops). Further hydrogen bonds mediate the characteristic L-shaped molecular structure. tRNAs have two regions of fundamental functional importance: the anti-codon, which is responsible for specific mRNA codon recognition, and the 3' end, to which the tRNAs corresponding amino acid is attached (by aminoacyl-tRNA synthetases). tRNAs cope with the degeneracy of the genetic code in two manners: having more than one tRNA (with a specific anti-codon) for a particular amino acid; and 'wobble' base-pairing, i.e. permitting non-standard base-pairing at the 3rd anti-codon position. The record is from RNAcentral. Lineage: Bacteria; Pseudomonadati; Ignavibacteriota.
GCUCCCAUCGACUAAGGGUUAGGUCACCACCCUUUCAAGGUGGUAAUACGGGUUCGAAUCCCGUUGGGAGCGCCA